RNAcentral lists this ribosomal RNA (300 nucleotides) under Triticum aestivum (bread wheat). RNAcentral describes it as "partial small subunit ribosomal RNA". Lineage: Eukaryota; Viridiplantae; Streptophyta; Magnoliopsida; Poales; Poaceae. The record is from RNAcentral.
AUGGAAGAACCUUGCAAACCUAGCAAGCGUCAGUUUAUAUUUAUUUUAUUUUAUAUUUUUUGCGAAAAAAGGCCCGGGUCUAUUAUAGAGAAAUUUGCCUCUCUUCUGCUAAACUGUACGGCCUUGGCACUAGAAACUAUAGUGGAAGAGAAGAGGGGCAAAUUUCUCUAUAAUAGACUUUUUUCGCAAAAAACUCAAAUUUGGAUUAUAUUACUGGUUGUAUGUCCCUUCGUUCAGGACGUGCUCUUAAAAAACUCAAAUUUGGAUUAUAUUAUUAAAUCAAGAGAACAUCCGAUAUAA